GUUAGUGGAAGCGUCUGGAAAGGCGUGCGAUACAGGGUGACAGCCCCGUACACAAAAAUGCACAUGCUGUGAGCUCGAUGAGUAGGGCGGGACACGUGGUAUCCUGUCUGAAUAUGGGGGGACCAUCCUCCAAGGCUAAAUACUCCUGACUGACCGAUAGUGAACCAGUACCGUGAGGGAAAGGCGAAAAGAACCCCGGCGAGGGGAGUGAAAAAGAACCUGAAACCGUGUACGUACAAGCAGUGGGAGCCUCUUUAAUGGGGUGACUGCGUACCUUUUGUAUAAUGGGUCAGCGACUUAUAUUCUGUAGCAAGGUUAACCGAAUAGGGGAGCCGAAGGGAAACCGAGUCUUAACUGGGCGUUAAGUUGCAGGGUAUAGACCCGAAACCCGGUGAUCUAGCCAUGGGCAGGUUGAAGGUUGGGUAACACUAACUGGAGGACCGAACCGACUAAUGUUGAAAAAUUAGCGGAUGACUUGUGGCUGGGGGUGAAAGGCCAAUCAAACCGGGAGAUAGCUGGUUCUCCCCGAAAGCUAUUUAGGUAGCGCCUCGUGAAUUCAUCUCCGGGGGUAGAGCACUGUUUCGGCAAGGGGGUCAUCCCGACUUACCAACCCGAUGCAAACUGCGAAUACCGGAGAAUGUUAUCACGGGAGACACACGGCGGGUGCUAACGUCCGUCGUGAAGAGGGAAACAACCCAGACCGCCAGCUAAGGUCCCAAAGUCAUGGUUAAGUGGGAAACGAUGUGGGAAGGCCCAGACAGCCAGGAUGUUGGCUUAGAAGCAGCCAUCAUUUAAAGAAAGCGUAAUAGCUCACUGGUCGAGUCGGCCUGCGCGGAAGAUGUAACGGGGCUAAACCAUGCACCGAAGCUGCGGCAGCGACACUAUGUGUUGUUGGGUAGGGGAGCGUUCUGUAAGCCGUUGAAGGUGGCCUGUGAGGGUUGCUGGAGGUAUCAGAAGUGCGAAUGCUGACAUAAGUAACGAUAAAGCGGGUGAAAAGCCCGCUCGCCGGAAGACCAAGGGUUCCUGUCCAACGUUAAUCGGGGCAGGGUGAGUCGACCCCUAAGGCGAGGCCGAAAGGCGUAGUCGAUGGGAAACAGGUUAAUAUUCCUGUACUUGGUGUUACUGCGAAGGGGGGACGGAGAAGGCUAUGUUGGCCGGGCGACGGUUGUCCCGGUUUAAGCGUGUAGGCUGAUUUUCCAGGCAAAUCCGGAGAAUCAAGGCUGAGGCGUGAUGACGAGGCACUACGGUGCUGAAGCAACAAAUGCCCUGCUUCCAGGAAAAGCCUCUAAGCAUCAGGUAACAUCAAAUCGUACCCCAAACCGACACAGGUGGUCAGGUAGAGAAUACCAAGGCGCUUGAGAGAACUCGGGUGAAGGAACUAGGCAAAAUGGUGCCGUAACUUCGGGAGAAGGCACGCUGAUGGUAGGUGAAGCGACUUGCUCGUGGAGCUGAAAUCAGUCGAAGAUACCAGCUGGCUGCAACUGUUUAUUAAAAACACAGCACUGUGCAAACACGAAAGUGGACGUAUACGGUGUGACGCCUGCCCGGUGCCGGAAGGUUAAUUGAUGGGGUCAGCCGCAAGGCGAAGCUCUUGAUCGAAGCCCCGGUAAACGGCGGCCGUAACUAUAACGGUCCUAAGGUAGCGAAAUUCCUUGUCGGGUAAGUUCCGACCUGCACGAAUGGCGUAAUGAUGGCCAGGCUGUCUCCACCCGAGACUCAGUGAAAUUGAACUCGCUGUGAAGAUGCAGUGUACCCGCGGCAAGACGGAAAGACCCCGUGAACCUUUACUAUAGCUUGACACUGAACAUUGAGCCUUGAUGUGUAGGAUAGGUGGGAGGCUUUGAAGUGUGGACGCCAGUCUGCAUGGAGCCGACCUUGAAAUACCACCCUUUAAUGUUUGAUGUUCUAACGUGGACCCGUGAUCCGGGUUGCGGACAGUGUCUGGUGGGUAGUUUGACUGGGGCGGUCUCCUCCUAAAGAGUAACGGAGGAGCACGAAGGUUGGCUAAUCCUGGUCGGACAUCAGGAGGUUAGUGCAAUGGCAUAAGCCAGCUUGACUGCGAGCGUGACGGCGCGAGCAGGUGCGAAAGCAGGUCAUAGUGAUCCGGUGGUUCUGAAUGGAAGGGCCAUCGCUCAACGGAUAAAAGGUACUCCGGGGAUAACAGGCUGAUACCGCCCAAGAGUUCAUAUCGACGGCGGUGUUUGGCACCUCGAUGUCGGCUCAUCACAUCCUGGGGCUGAAGUAGGUCCCAAGGGUAUGGCUGUUCGCCAUUUAAAGUGGUACGCGAGCUGGGUUUAGAACGUCGUGAGACAGUUCGGUCCCUAUCUGCCGUGGGCGCUGGAGAACUGAGGGGGGCUGCUCCUAGUACGAGAGGACCGGAGUGGACGCAUCACUGGUGUUCGGGUUGUCAUGCCAAUGGCACUGCCCGGUAGCUAAAUGCGGAAGAGAUAAGUGCUGAAAGCAUCUAAGCACGAAACUUGCCCCGAGAUGAGUUCUCCCUGAGACUUUAAGUCUCCUGAAGGAACGUUGAAGACGACGACGUUGAUAGGCCGGGUGUGUAAGCGCAGCGAUGCGUUGAGCUAACCGGUACUAAUGAACCGUGAGGCUUAACCUU
Molecule: ribosomal RNA, 2614 nt
Filed under: Escherichia marmotae
Lineage: Bacteria; Pseudomonadati; Pseudomonadota; Gammaproteobacteria; Enterobacterales; Enterobacteriaceae
Description: partial 23S ribosomal RNA
Rfam family: Bacterial large subunit ribosomal RNA
Source: RNAcentral